Molecule: ribosomal RNA, 253 nt
Filed under: uncultured bacterium
Lineage: Bacteria
Description: partial 16S ribosomal RNA
Rfam family: Bacterial small subunit ribosomal RNA
Source: RNAcentral
UACGAAGGGGGCUAGCGUUGUUCGGAAUCACUGGGCGUAAAGAGCGCGCAGGCGGUUGAUUAAGUCGAAUGUGAAAGCCCCCGGCUCAACUGGGGAGGGUCAUUCGAUACUGAUCGACUUGAAGGCAGGAGAGGGAAGUGGAAUUCCGGGUGUAGUGGUGAAAUGCGUAGAUAUCCGGAGGAACACCAGUGGCGAAGGCGACUUCCUGGCCUGUUCUUGACGCUGAGGCGCGAAAGCUAGGGGAGCAAACGGG